GUCCUGUGAUGAGGGCAUUUGCGUAAUAGUUCUGUAAAUCUUUCCCAUGCCUCAUACAGGGAUUCAUCGUCUGAUUUCUUGAAGGUUGUGAUCUCAUUCCUUAACUU
Molecule: non-coding RNA, 107 nt
Organism: Gossypium hirsutum (cotton)
Lineage: Eukaryota; Viridiplantae; Streptophyta; Magnoliopsida; Malvales; Malvaceae
Source: Rfam